Molecule: non-coding RNA, 142 nt
Organism: Anolis sagrei ordinatus
Lineage: Eukaryota; Metazoa; Chordata; Lepidosauria; Squamata; Anolidae
Source: RefSeq, a predicted model, not a curated record
AAGAACGAAGUAUGGAAGCAAAAAGCAAAGGAAGGAGGGAAAGAGGUAGAGAAGGAAGAAAGGAGAGAAAGUGGAAGGAAAAGGGGGGAGGAUGGGAGUGAAGGAAGGAGGGAAAGAAAGAGGAAGAGGGAGGGAAGGAAAG